UACGAAGGGAGCUAGAGUUGUUCGGAAUCACUGGGCGUAAAGCGCACGUAGGCGGAUUUGCCAGUCAGGGGUGAAAUCCCGGGGCUCAACCUCGGAACUGCCUUUGAUACAGCAAGUCUUGAGUUCGAGAGAGGUGGGUGGAAUUCCUAGUGUAGAGGUGAAAUUCGUAGAUAUUAGGAAGAACACCGGUGGCGAAGGCGGCCCACUGGCUCGACACUGACGCUGAGGUGCGAAAGCGUGGGGAGCAAACAGG
Molecule: ribosomal RNA, 253 nt
Filed under: uncultured bacterium
Lineage: Bacteria
Description: partial 16S ribosomal RNA
Rfam family: Bacterial small subunit ribosomal RNA
Source: RNAcentral